RNAcentral lists this ribosomal RNA (1243 nucleotides) under uncultured Acinetobacter sp. Its description in RNAcentral is "bacterial SSU rRNA". It matches the Rfam family "Bacterial small subunit ribosomal RNA", at positions 78 to 1316 of the family's 1533-position model. The record is from RNAcentral. Lineage: Bacteria; Pseudomonadati; Pseudomonadota; Gammaproteobacteria; Moraxellales; Moraxellaceae.
GCUUGCUACCUGACCUAGCGGCGGACGGGUGAGUAAUGCUUAGGAAUCUGCCUAUUAGUGGGGGACAACAUUCCGAAAGGAAUGCUAAUACCGCAUACGCCCUACGGGGGAAAGCAGGGGAUCUUCGGACCUUGCGCUAAUAGAUGAGCCUAAGUCAGAUUAGCUAGUUGGUGGGGUAAAGGCCUACCAAGGCGACGAUCUGUAGCGGGUCUGAGAGGAUGAUCCGCCACACUGGGACUGAGACACGGCCCAGACUCCUACGGGAGGCAGCAGUGGGGAAUAUUGGACAAUGGGCGAAAGCCUGAUCCAGCCAUGCCGCGUGUGUGAAGAGGGCCUUUUGGUUGUAAAGCACUUUAAGCGAGGAGGAGGCUACUUGGAUUAAUACUCUAGGAUAGUGGACGUUACUCGCAGAAUAAGCACCGGCUAACUCUGUGCCAGCAGCCGCGGUAAUACAGAGGGUGCGAGCGUUAAUCGGAUUUACUGGGCGUAAAGCGUGCGUAGGCGGCUUUUUAAGUCGGAUGUGAAAUCCCUGAGCUUAACUUAGGAAUUGCAUUCGAUACUGGGAAGCUAGAGUAUGGGAGAGGAUGGUAGAAUUCCAGGUGUAGCGGUGAAAUGCGUAGAGAUCUGGAGGAAUACCGAUGGCGAAGGCAGCCAUCUGGCCUAAUACUGACGCUGAGGUACGAAAGCAUGGGGAGCAAACAGGAUUAGAUACCCUGGUAGUCCAUGCCGUAAACGAUGUCUACUAGCCGUUGGGGCCUUUGAGGCUUUAGUGGCGCAGCUAACGCGAUAAGUAGACCGCCUGGGGAGUACGGUCGCAAGACUAAAACUCAAAUGAAUUGACGGGGGCCCGCACAAGCGGUGGAGCAUGCGGUUUAAUUCGAUGCAACGCGAAGAACCUUACCUGGUCUUGACAUAGUAAGAACUUUCCAGAGAUGGAUUGGUGCCUUCGGGAACUUACAUACAGGUGCUGCAUGGCUGUCGUCAGCUCGUGUCGUGAGAUGUUGGGUUAAGUCCCGCAACGAGCGCAACCCUUUUCCUUAUUUGCCAGCGGGUUAAGCCGGGAACUUUAAGGAUACUGCCAGUGACAAACUGGAGGAAGGCGGGGACGACGUCAAGUCAUCAUGGCCCUUACGACCAGGGCUACACACGUGCUACAAUGGUCGGUACAAAGGGUUGCUACCUAGCGAUAGGAUGCUAAUCUCAAAAAGCCGAUCGUAGUCCGGAUUGGAGUCUGCAACUCGAC